Molecule: small RNA, 1565 nt
Filed under: Pongo abelii (Sumatran orangutan)
Lineage: Eukaryota; Metazoa; Chordata; Mammalia; Primates; Hominidae
Description: processed transcript
Source: RNAcentral
ACACAGGCCGGGCUGCGGAGCGCAGUCGCCCAGGUUUACGGCGGCAGCGGGCCGAGGCCCCCGGAGAGGACCGCGAUGAGUCCACUUCAGGUCGGGGCUGAGUGUGGGCGCGCGGUUCCCGGCGGCGUGUGACCCAGUCUCCGCUAGCCGCUGCCCUCUGCGUGUUACGAGACAGCCCUUGACGGUGAAAAGAGCAGCGGCCUGCAGCAGCUGGCCUACCACACUGUGAAUCGUCGCUAUCGGGAGUUCUUGAAUCUGCAGACCCGUCUGGAGGAGAAACCAGAUCUACGAAAGUUCAUCAAAAAUGUGAAGGGUCCUAAAAAGCUCUUUCCAGAUCUUCCAUUUGGAAACAUGGACAGUGACAGAGUAGAAGCCCGUAAGAGCCUCCUAGAAUCAUUCCUAAAGCAACUCUGUGCCAUUCCGGAGAUCGCUAACAGUGAGGAGGUGCAGGAGUUCCUUGCUCUGAACACAGAUGCUCGUAUUGCCUUUGUCAAGAAACCAUUUAUGGUAUCUAGAAUAGACAAGGUCCAGGCUGAGGUUCUCAUCCAGUAAAAUUUCUCCAGCACUAAGUGUGACUGAAGCACAAGACAAGAUUCUUUAUUGUCUCCAGGAAGGCAAUGUGGAGUCUGAGACUCUAUCCAUGUCUGGGAUGGAAUCUUUUAUUGAAAAACAGACAAAGUUACUGGAAAUGCAGCCAACAAAAGCCCCAGGAAAAGAUCCUGAACAACCUCCCAAAGGACGUGUGGACAGUUGCGUGUCAGAUGCAGCUGUGCCAGCCCAAGACCCCGGCAACAGCGAUCCAGGAACAGAGACAGAGUUAGCUGACACAGCCCUGGAUCUGCUCCUCUUGCUACUAACAGAGCAGUGGAAAUGGCUGUGUACCGAAAACAUGCAGAAGUUUCUUCGUCUUAUCUUUGGGACCCUAGUUCAAAGGUGGCUAGAGGUGCAGGUAGCUAAUUUAACAAGUCCACAGCGCUGGGUGCAGUACCUCCGGCUUCUUCAGGAAUCCAUCUGGCCUGGUGGAGUUUUGCCUAAGUUUCCACGGCCCGUAAGGACCCAAGAGCAGAAACUGGCUGCUGAGAAACAGGCUUUGCAGAGCCUGAUGGGAGUCCUCCCGGAUCUCAUAGUAGAAAUUCUUAGGGUGAACAAAUGCCAGCUGAGCUGGGGUCUAGUCUUGGAGUCACUACAACAACCCCUCAUCAACAGGCAUUUGAUUUACUGCCUCGGGGACAUCAUCCUGGAAUUCUUGGAUCUCAGUGCCUCUGUUGAGGAGUCUGCUGCUACCACCUCUGCCUCAGAUACCCCAGGCAACUCUAAGAGGAUGGGUGUCUCCUCUUAGCUGGUUAUUCACGCCUUCUUCCCAGGUCAGGGAAGUAGAGUUACUCGGCCACCAGAGACCAGUCAGGAAGCCCGCGCCCUCUUGAAGUAGGCUACAGCUAAGAAGGCCUAGGUUCUCAGUAGCUCACUUCUCUCCCACUUCUGCUCCAUUUGUAGCAGGUGACGGGGGUCUGUGUGUCCCAGUUGCAUGCACAUUUAUUUCCGUGUUCCUUUUGUGAUGUUGGGAU